Molecule: regulatory RNA element, 99 nt
Organism: Bifidobacterium scardovii
Lineage: Bacteria; Bacillati; Actinomycetota; Actinomycetes; Bifidobacteriales; Bifidobacteriaceae
Rfam family: TPP riboswitch aptamer (THI element)
About the family: Vitamin B(1) in its active form thiamin pyrophosphate (TPP) is an essential coenzyme that is synthesised by coupling of pyrimidine and thiazole moieties in bacteria. The previously detected thiamin-regulatory element, thi box was extended, resulting in a new, highly conserved RNA secondary structure, the THI element, which is widely distributed in eubacteria and also occurs in some archaea.
Source: Rfam
GCGGAACACUAGGGGUGCCUUUGCGCUGAGAUGGCUGCCGCCAAUCCCUUCGAACCUGAUGUGGGUAAUACCAACGUAGGAAAGUGGUUUCGACGUCAG